This 203-nucleotide long non-coding RNA is filed under the name Theobroma cacao (cacao). Its description in RNAcentral is "long non-coding RNA (TCAC_LNC004506)". The record is from RNAcentral. Lineage: Eukaryota; Viridiplantae; Streptophyta; Magnoliopsida; Malvales; Malvaceae.
UGCGAUUAAGUAUACAUUAAAUAACAAUCUAUAUUCCUUGACCAAUCCAAUUGACUCAAGGGGAUAUACCAACAAGGAUUUGCUCUACUUUCCCAAACCCCCAGACAUUCAAAAAAAAAAAGAUUUUCUAACUGUGAUGAGUUCAUUCUCCUAAUUUUUAUAAUAAGAAGAAAGUAUAAACAUUAAAAGUUUAUAAAUAAAAU